RNAcentral lists this ribosomal RNA (449 nucleotides) under uncultured bacterium. RNAcentral describes it as "partial 16S ribosomal RNA". It matches the Rfam family "Bacterial small subunit ribosomal RNA", at positions 29 to 523 of the family's 1533-position model. The record is from RNAcentral.
AACGAACGCUGGCGGCAGGCUUAACACAUGCAAGUCGAGCGCAUCCUUCGGGGUGAGCGGCAGACGGGUGAGUAACGCGUGGGAACGUACCCUUUCCUACGGAAUAGCUCCGGGAAACUGGAAUUAAUACCGUAAACGCCCUUAGGGGGAAAGAUUAAUCGGGGAAGGAUCGGCCCGCGUUGGAUUAGCUAGUUGGUGGGGUAAAGGCCUCCCAAGGCGACGAUCCAUAGCUGGUCUGAGAGGAUGAUCAGCCACAUUGGGACUGAGACACGGCCCAAACUCCUACGGGAGGGAGCAGUGGGGAAUAUUGGACAAUGGGCGCAAGCCUGAUCCAGCCAUGCCGCGUGAGUGAUGAAGGCCUUAGGGUUGUAAAGCUCUUUCAGUAGGGAAGAUAAUGACGGUACCUACAGAAGAAGCCCCGGCUAACUUCGUGCCAGCCGCCGCUGUAA